CGGGUGAGUAAUGUCUGGGAAACUGCCUGAUGGAGGGGGAUAACUACUGGAAACGGUGGCUAAUACCGCAUAACGUCGCAAGACCAAAGAGGGGGACCUUCGGGCCUCUUGCCAUCAGAUGUGCCCAGAUGGGAUUAGCUAGUUGGUGAGGUAACGGCUCACCAAGGCGACGAUCCCUAGCUGGUCUGAGAGGAUGACCAGCCACACUGGAACUGAGACACGGUCCAGACUCCUACGGGAGGCAGCAGUGGGGAAUAUUGCACAAUGGGCGCAAGCCUGAUGCAGCCAUGCCGCGUGUAUGAAGAAGGCCUUCGGGUUGUAAAGUACUUUCAGCGGGGAGGAAGGUGUUGUGGUUAAUAACCGCAGCAAUUGACGUUACCCGCAGAAGAAGCACCGGCUAACUCCGUGCCAGCAGCCGCGGUAAUACGGAGGGUGCAAGCGUUAAUCGGAAUUACUGGGCGUAAAGCGCACGCAGGCGGUCUGUCAAGUCGGAUGUGAAAUCCCCGGGCUCAACCUGGGAACUGCAUUCGAAACUGGCAGGCUUGAGUCUUGUAGAGGGGGGUAGAAUUCCAGGUGUAGCGGUGAAAUGCGUAGAGAUCUGGAGGAAUACCGGUGGCGAAGGCGGCCCCCUGGACAAAGACUGACGCUCAGGUGCGAAAGCGUGGGGAGCAAACAGGAUUAGAUACCCUGGUAGUCCACGCCGUAAACGAUGUCUACUUGGAGGUUGUGCCCUUGAGGCGUGGCUUCCGGAGCUAACGCGUUAAGUAGACCGCCUGGGGAGUACGGCCGCAAGGUUAAAACUCAAAUGAAUUGACGGGGGCCCGCACAAGCGGUGGAGCAUGUGGUUUAAUUCGAUGCAACGCGAAGAACCUUACCUGGUCUUGACAUCCACAGAAGAAUCCAGAGAUGGAUUUGUGCCUUCGGGAACUGUGAGACAGGUGCUGCAUGGCUGUCGUCAGCUCGUGUUGUGAAAUGUUGGGUUAAGUCCCGCAACGAGCGCAACCCUUAUCCUUUGUUGCCAGCGGUCCGGCCGGGAACUCAAAGGAGACUGCCAGUGAUAAACUGGAGGAAGGUGGGGAUGACGUCAAGUCAUCAUGGCCCUUACGACCAGGGCUACACACGUGCUACAAUGGCGCAUACAAAGAGAAGCGACCUCGCGAGAGCAAGCGGACCUCAUAAAGUGCGUCGUAGUCCGGAUUGGAGUCUGCAACUCGACUCCAUGAAGUCGGAAUCGCUAGUAAUCGUGGAUCAGAAUGCCACGGUGAAUACGUUCCCGGGCCUUGUACACACCGCCCGUCACACCAUGGGAGUGGGUUGCAAAAGAAGUAGGUAGCUUAACCUUCGGGAGGGCGCUUACCACUUUGUGAUUCAUGACUGGGGUGAAGUCGUAACAAGGUAACCGUAGGGGAACCUGCGGUUGGAUCACCUCCUUACCUUAAAGAA
This 1443-nucleotide ribosomal RNA is filed under the name Salmonella enterica. RNAcentral's name for it is "bacterial SSU rRNA". It matches the Rfam family "Bacterial small subunit ribosomal RNA". The record is from RNAcentral. Lineage: Bacteria; Pseudomonadati; Pseudomonadota; Gammaproteobacteria; Enterobacterales; Enterobacteriaceae.